RNAcentral lists this non-coding RNA (588 nucleotides) under Enterobius vermicularis (human pinworm). RNAcentral describes it as "Eukaryotic large subunit ribosomal RNA". It matches the Rfam family "Eukaryotic large subunit ribosomal RNA", at positions 2405 to 2989 of the family's 3401-position model. Lineage: Eukaryota; Metazoa; Nematoda; Chromadorea; Rhabditida; Oxyuridae. The record is from Rfam by way of RNAcentral.
AGCAAACUGUGUUAGGUUUUAUUCUAGUUUGGCGUCGUAAAAGUUGUGAGGGGUGUGACAUAAGAGAGAGCUUUAGGGCAACGGUAAAAUACCGCUAUUUUCAUCAACUUCUUACUUUUUUGGUUAAGUAAGAGGUCCGUUAGAAUGGUAACUCUUGUUUCUAGUGUACAAGUGCUGGCUACUCGGUGGUUGUCUCGACUUACUUAGAUAACACUGCAAACGAAGAGUUUGAUGGGGGCAGUACAUCUGUCAAAUAAUAACGCACUUUUCCUAAAGCUAGUUAAAGAAGGCAGGAAAUCUUUAGUAACGUAAGGUAGGGACUCGCUCAACUUUAAUUUUCAGCACAAGUGUAGACGAUGGGACCUCGACCUAUCAAACUUUCAUGUUAGAGGACUUUUAGUAGUUGAUUUCAGACGGGUUAUCACAGAGAUAACUGGUUCGUGACAGUCAGUUGUCUAAAACACCGAUGCCUUUUAAUCAUUCGAUGCCGGCUCUUCCUAAUUUCUCAGGCAAUAUUCAUCGUUUGAUCAGAUCCCUAUCAAGGAGGAACAGGAGUUGGGCUGAGACUUUUGUGAGGCAGAUUAGUUU